Bactrocera tryoni is the source of this 990-nucleotide RNA transcript. It is a transcript of the gene named BLOC-1-related complex subunit 8 homolog, with no coding region annotated. The transcript has 5 exons. NCBI's taxonomy places the organism in Eukaryota, Metazoa, Arthropoda, Insecta, Diptera, Tephritidae. The record is from RefSeq and is a predicted model, not a curated record.
UCAGUAUUGAUUAUCAAAAGCUUUGUUUAUAAAUGUAAAUUCCAAUUCUAAUAGGAAACACUAAAUAGACGAUAUGACUCCACAGGACGCAGAUUUGGCAUUCAAAACCAAGAAAACUUCCGAAAAAAUAUGCGAAAACAUACAUAUUGUAGCCAAUGAUCCAUCAUUGGCAUUUUUUCGCAUACAGGAACAUGUAAGGAAGGUGCUACAGCCAAUUUCAGAUAAACGAGCGGAAGUUAUACAGUUGCAAACGAAUUUACAAGGGCAUUGCUAUGACAUGGAAUACGCAGUUGGCGCCGUUAAAGGUGUGGAGCAUUCUGAAGCUAUUUUCAAAAAUAUACAAGAAAUGAUAAAAACUUCAAUAUUUCUUAAACAACAACUAAAGUAUGGUGAACUAAAAAACAAGUCAAAGAAGGAUUCAACUAGUAACUCCGUUUAUAAGCGCUUCUCUGCACAUUUAACAUUGGACUUGCCGGAAUUACCGGAUUUUAGUGGCGUUAUGCGCGAAACUAGUCAACGGGUAGAAACUAUGAUGACAUCCACAUCUAGAGACAACAAUGUACCACAAAGUAGUUCCAGCGAAUUGCAGAGAUCGUAUACUACAUUACAUUAAAGUUGAAGUUAGCUGUUGAAAUAUUGCUCCACAAUAUUGUACGAGUGUGUAUAAAAAUAAGAACUGAAAGUGCUCCUCCUACCCUAAACAUAUGUAUGUAUACUGUUUAAAAUUUCAUUAACGCCUACAUAGUCCUCAAUUCGAAUUAUCGUGUUAUACCCCGGCACCAUACAACUAAAUAUAUUUAUUUGGACGGACAAUGACUUUUAUAUAAUAAAAACCCAACUCUCAAUAAGCAUCACUACAGUGACCAAUGUCUGUCACCUUGACAGAAUUCCAAAUAAUGCGGUGUUUGUCUAAUACGUAAUUAUGAUUAAGAAAUAUUUUUUCAAUUCAUAUCAAUUUUUAUCAAAAAUAUAAACAAAGUACAAAAAUUA